Molecule: long non-coding RNA, 2419 nt
Filed under: Nicotiana tabacum (common tobacco)
Lineage: Eukaryota; Viridiplantae; Streptophyta; Magnoliopsida; Solanales; Solanaceae
Description: long non-coding RNA (NTAB_LNC005477)
Source: RNAcentral
UUACCCCAAAAGGAACUAGCGGUCGUUUCCCCUAUCUUCUUCCUCAUCUUCUCAAAAUAGGAACACCAGAGAACAUACUGCCCAUGUAUCCCACGACUUUUUGAACUCCUCCAUUUUCAACACACUUGAAACCAACGCUCAAUUUUAUCAACAUCGAGAAGGUAAAUUCUGAAAUUUUAUGGAAAAGGGUAAUGCGAAAAUAGCUACGACUUAUAGAAACAGCACAGUUCCUAAAGAAUAUUUAAAGAUAGAUAGGCCUUUUUUUAUGAAUUCAACUUGAAAAUCUUUAUCUUUAAAAUCCAAAAACUCUGGUGAUGCUUCGGUUUUCAGUAUCUGUUGUAAAAGCAAUGGCUCCAUCGCUAACUCUGCUGCUUCCACUAAGGAUGCUACCUCCAGAUUUUUAGAGCAUUAAGUCUAUUGUCUUGUUGUGCUGAUUCUGCUAAUCUUCAUCCACGUUUUCUGCCUUCAUUUGUCUUCUCUUUGGAGUAUUGUUUCUCAAACAAUUAGGUACACAACUUUGAACUUGUCUUAAUUGUGCGAAGCAAAUGAAAUUCCUGCUGAGUUUUGGUUUUUCUUUUUUGCUUUCUUAUCUGAUUGGCUAUGAGAAUUACCUUGAUUCCCGUUUUCAUUUAAGAAUAUUGUUGUUAGUUAGUUGACUCUUUUAAGCACUUUUACUUUCACCUAGCUCUUGAAUCGGGUCAGAGAUGAAAUCGUUUGUUCUACUUGCUGAACUUAAUAGAUGUUGUAGUUGAAUUCGCUAUGGCGUAUUUGUUUAAAGCAUAAACUCAAUUGAAUGGGGACUAUCAUAUCUUGUGUUUCUGCUUGGACUAUUCCUGGGAUGUCAUUGAUUAUAAUGGUGGACUUUAAGCUAAUGUGUACAGAUUUAAUAUUAAAAGGCUUUCAAUGAGCUUGGACACCAGUUCAACUCUAGUUUAGCUUAUGUAAUUGGGCCAUUCAAAGUAUAAUUAAAGAGGCUAUUGAUGUAAAGUUGAAAAUUGUGCUUUUUCUAUAACGAAUUGGUGAUGUAAUUUUUGAAUUUAAGAUAAUAUAUAUUCAUGCUUAGCUUAAUUCAUAGCUAUUUCGCUUUUCUUUAUGGAUAGCCUUUUGAGUUUGAUUAUCAAAUCUGAUUUCAAACUCUUCUAAAUAAUUAUUACUAAGCAAGUUCAGUGUGUCAAGAUCAUAUACAUUAAUUUCUAUGCCUUUUACCCACAAAAUUGUAAUCCUCUCAUAAUCUAGUUUAAAAUCCACCAAUGUGCACUCUUGCCAAAUGAUUCUAUCAUUCCAAUAAUCUCAAAGUAGGAAAUAAUUCAUGAACAUCGUAACUUGCUUUAUGACCGAUUAAUAAUAAAUCUUCGUGACUAUGGGUGCAGUUUCUGUGGCAUAGUCAUGAUGUGUAACUCCAAAAUUUGAGUGCACGCUGGCAUGACGCGACCCCCCCCCCCUUCCCCAACUCCGAACAAUUAUAAAAAGAAACAUAUUGUAAAUCGCUGGUGCAUUUCAUGUGACGUGGUUUGCAAUGUGUACCAAAACAACAAGUGUACGACAACGAUGUAAUGAUCCGGCCGGUCAUUUCAUGAGUUACCGCUCCGUUUCCCCCAUUUGUGCUUCUUUAUGUCUUGUUCAGCUGUAUUAUAUGGUAUCAGGUUAGUUGAUUCGGGUUUGGAGUGGUUUUGGAGAGGUUUGAGACACUUAGUCUAUUUUGAGUAAGCUUAAGUGGGAAAACUCAACCGGAUGUUGACUUAUGUGAAAAAGGGCUGGGAUGUGAAAUAUGAUGAUUCGGAUAGCUUCAAAAGGUGAUGUAAGAGCAUGAUCGGAAUGUGUUUUGGAAGUUCGUAGUAAAUUUAGGAUUGAAGUGGCAAAAAUGGAUUUUUGGCGUGUUUCGGUUGAUAGUGGAAAUUUUGAUAUAGGGGUCGGAGUGGAGUUCCAGGAGUGACAAUAGGUUCGUUGUAUCAUAUGGGAUGUGUGUGUAGAAUUUCAGGUCAUUCGGACGAGGUUUGAUAGACUUUUUGAUCGAAAGCGGAAUUCAGAAGUUUUUGGAGUCCUUAGGCUCGAAUCCGUGGUUGAUUUGUUGUUUUAAUGUUGAUUUAGGUGCUUCGAAGAUUGGUAUAUGUUUGGAUGGUGGUAUAUGACUUGUUCGUACUUUUGGUUUAGGUCCCGGGGGCCUCGGGGUAAUUUCGGAUGGUUGAUGGGAGAUUUGGAGCUGGAAAUUUGUAGCUGAAGUUGUUGGAGCUCCUAUCUGAGGGUUCGAAACCCCAAACUAUGUGUUCUAUGAUUACUAAUGAGGUGACGCAAAUGCCAAGUGAUGGGUGUGUGGGCAUGCACCAUGAGAAAUGUGUCCUGGAUCAUUCCAGAGCACCGCUUAAUGACUCUUUCUUGCUGAUAUCUAUGUUGUAUCUAUGUGAUUAAGUUAAUGAGCUGC